Molecule: ribosomal RNA, 265 nt
Filed under: uncultured prokaryote
Description: partial 16S ribosomal RNA
Rfam family: Bacterial small subunit ribosomal RNA
Source: RNAcentral
UACGGAGGGUGCAAGCGUUGUUCGGAAUCACUUGGCGUAAAGGGCGCGCAGGCGGCCUGAUUAGUCAGAUGUGAAAGCCCACGGCUUGACUGUGGAAGUGCAUUUGAAACUGUCAGGCUUGAGUACCAGAGGGAAAGUGGAAUUCCCGGUGUAGAGGUGAAAUUCGUAGAUAUCGGGAGGAAUACCGGUGGCGAAGGCGACUUUCUGGCUGGAUACUGACGCUGAGGCGUGAAAGCGUGGGGAGGCAAACAGGAUUAGAUACCCU